RNAcentral lists this ribosomal RNA (497 nucleotides) under uncultured bacterium. RNAcentral's name for it is "partial 16S ribosomal RNA". It matches the Rfam family "Bacterial small subunit ribosomal RNA", at positions 28 to 507 of the family's 1533-position model. The record is from RNAcentral.
GAUGAACGCUGGCGGCGUGCCUAAUACAUGCAAGUCGAGCGAACAGAUAAGGAGCUUGCUCCUUUGACGUUAGCGGCGGACGGGUGAGUAACACGUGGGUAACCUACCUAUAAGACUGGAAUAACUCCGGGAAACCGGGGCUAAUGCCGGAUAACAUUUAGAACCGCAUGGUUCUAAAGUGAAAGAUGGUUUUGCUAUCACUUAUAGAUGGACCCGCGCCGUAUUAGCUAGUUGGUAAGGUAACGGCUUACCAAGGCAACGAUACGUAGCCGACCUGAGAGGGUGAUCGGCCACACUGGAACUGAGUCACGGUCCAGACUCCUACGGGAGGCAGCAGUAGGGAAUCUUCCGCAAUGGGCGAAAGCCUGACGGAGCAACGCCGCGUGAGUGAUGAAGGUCUUCGGAUCGUAAAACUCUGUUAUUAGGGAAGAACAAAUGUGUAAGUAACUGUGCACGUCUUGACGGUACCUAAUCAGAAAGCCACGGCUAACUACGUG